This 253-nucleotide ribosomal RNA is filed under the name uncultured bacterium. Its description in RNAcentral is "partial 16S ribosomal RNA". It matches the Rfam family "Bacterial small subunit ribosomal RNA", at positions 524 to 776 of the family's 1533-position model. The record is from RNAcentral.
GACAGAGGUUGCAAACGUUGUUCGGAAUCACUGGGCAUAAAGCGCACGUAGGCGGUCUGUUAAGUCAGGUGUGAAAGCCCCCGGCUCAACCGGGGAAUAGCAUUUGAUACUGGCAGACUCGAGGAUGGUAGGGGUGAGUGGAACUCCAGGUGGAGCGGUGAAAUGCGUAGAUAUCAGGAGGAACACCAGCGGCGAAGGCGGCGCUCUGGGCCGGUACUGACGCUGAGGAGCGAAAGCGUGGGUAGCAAACAGG